CAUAUCCUCAUGUGCCAAUUUCUAAAUACAAAAGCUACACUCUCAAUCUCUUAUCUACACAAAAACAGAUAUCAACAAUCUCACACCAAAGUGUUUGAUUCACAAUUGCAACCAAAAUACAAACAAUUAAAAUAUAUAAGUAUUCUUUCAAAAUUUCAAGGUGAACUUCUGCAAAUGCAUAUACAGUAUAUUAUUUAAACUAGAGAAGCCUCCUCCUGAAGUUUCUUGUAGUUGAUUGAUAAGUACGAACGAGAAGACCGGCACCAAUGCCAAGACCAACACAGACGCCAAGUCCAAU
Non-coding RNA from Brassica napus (rape), 298 nucleotides. Lineage: Eukaryota; Viridiplantae; Streptophyta; Magnoliopsida; Brassicales; Brassicaceae. The record is from Rfam.